Molecule: ribosomal RNA, 400 nt
Filed under: uncultured bacterium
Lineage: Bacteria
Description: bacterial SSU rRNA
Rfam family: Bacterial small subunit ribosomal RNA
Source: RNAcentral
UGGGGAAUAUUGGGCAAUGGGGGAAACCCUGACCCAGCAACGCCGCGUGAAGGAAGAAGGCUUUCGGGUUGUAAACUUCUUUUACCAGGGACGAAGGACGUGACGGUACCUGGAGAAAAAGCCACGGCUAACUACGUGCCAGCAGCCGCGGUAAUACGUAGGUGGCAAGCGUUGUCCGGAUUUACUGGGUGUAAAGGGCGUGUAGGCGGGAGAGCAAGUCAGAAGUGAAAUCUAUGGGCUUAACCCAUAAACUGCUUUUGAAACUGUUCUUCUUGAGUAUCGGAGAGGCAGGCGGAAUUCCUAGUGUAGCGGUGAAAUGCGUAGAUAUUAGGAGGAACACCAGUGGCGAAGGCGGCCUGCUGGACGACAACUGACGCUGAGGCGCGAAAGCGUGGGGAGC